CAUCUACACCCGCUGCCCUUAGGUAAAGAGCAUCCCAGGGCGCCUGGGUGGCUCCCUCGGUUCGACGUCCACCUUUGGCUCAGGUCAUGGUCUCGCAGUUUGUGAGUUCGAGCCCCACGUCGGGCUCGCUGCUGUCAGCAUGGAGCCUGCUUAGGAUCCUCUGUCCCUCUCUCCCUGCCACAACCCCGCUUGUGCUCUCUCAAAAAUAAAUAAAACAUUAAAAACAAAAAAGAUAUUCCACAUGGCCUGGAUGGGGUUGGUACAACCAGGUGAGAGGCGUGAAGAACAGAGCUGAGGUUUCCGUGAUGAGAUUCGGUCAGUGUCCACUCCCGGGGUCCAGCCUGCUCCAGGGAGUCCAGACUGGCUUAGCCUAGUGGGUCAAUCUUUCUCCCUCCCGCCUCCGCUCUGUUUCUUUAGUGGAACCCUGACUGAUGCCCCCACUUUUCCUCAUCUGUAAAAUGGGUAGCCAUCCUUAACCCUGAGAGCUGCCUUGAGAAUUAAACAAGGUGUGUGCCCACGCCCAGCACAGAGCAAACGCUUGUUAAGACCAGGCGUCUUGUCCCCUUCUUAGCAAGCGGCCUGGGCGGCCAGCCUCCCCCAGCAACAGCCAGGGUUAGCCUGGGUGGGCAAGUAAGAAGGAGUUCCCUAAGGACGGAGGCUGCAGGGUGCAGAGAGCCUCUGGGUCUGCCAUUAACUGGCUGGAGAUACCUGGAGCCAGACAUUUGACUCCUCGGGCUCUAGAGUCCUCCCGAUAAAGUCCUCCCCCGAGGGUAGAAGUGUGGCCCAGAGAAGGCAAACCCCUGCCUGAGGACCUUUGGAGUGGAUCAGCUCCUGAAGACGCCUGAGGUUGGCUGUAAGGGGCAGACCACCUGAGGGGACGGUGACUGCCACUCGCUAAAGAAUUUUCUUUUUGUUUUUUAAAUGUUUAUCUAUUUAUUUUUGAGAGAGGGAGAGCAUGCAUGAGCUGAGAGGGAGAGGGAGAGAGAAAGAGAGACAGAAUCCCAAGCAGCCUCCAGGCUAUCAGCACAGAGCUGGACGCGGUCCUCGAUCCCACAGACUGUGAGAUCAAGACCUGGGCUUGAAAUCCAGAGUCAGACGCUUAACCGACUGAGCCCCCCCAAGAGCCCCGAGAAUUUUCAAUAUGGCGUAUCUGAGAGGAUAGCUUAAGCCUCCUUGAGCUUUCCUUCCAAUUUUUAGUCUAUGCUUCUGCUGCUGCUUUUUUUGUUUGUUUUUGGUGGUAAAAUGUACAAAACAAAGAUUUACUACUUUAACCAUUGCUAAGCGUGCCCUUCAGGGGCAUUAGGCACAUUCGCACUAGUGUGCAGCCGUUCCCACCAUCCAUCUCCAGAACUUUCUCAUCUUCCCCAACCCAAACCGUGUCCCCUUUCAACACUGACUCCCCUCUUGCCCCAUCUGCCCGGGUCCUGGUAACCACUGUUCUAGAGCUCUGACUGUUCUGGAGAUCUCUUACAAGUAGAAUCCUGUAACAGUUGUCCUUCUGUGAUUACUUUGACCUCUUGAAUCAACAGUUUUUAGAAGUUAGUCCAUCAAAUUGGCCACCUGUGCCCGCAGACAAGCACGCUUCAGGUCCCUGCUCAGAAAGUGACGGCGUUCUGGGAAGGCGGGAAGUGAACAGGAAAAGGGCCCACAGCCCUGGCGGUUGGACCCCCACCCCCGCCUCCAAGCCCAGCCACGCUCCAGCCGCAUUAAAGAGCACGGUCAGUCGUAAGAAUACCGAAGCCACACGUGAGCCAGAGCGAAGAAAAAAAAUCAGCUUCCUGUUUUCACACUGGAAGAGAGAGCGCGUGAGUGGGGAAGGUUGCAGAGACAGAGACAGAGAAUCCCGAGCAGGCUCCGCACUGUCAGCACAGAGCCUGACGCCAGGCUCGAACUCACGAACCGCGAGAUCAUGACCGAAGCCGAAACCAAGACUAACCAACCAAGGCCCCCGGGCGCCCCAAUCUCAGCUCUUUUCAACAGCAAGCGGGCUUUCUGGUUUUAGAACCAAGUAAGAGGCACCGUCUGUUCAAUAAGAAAGUAAAGCAGCCACCAAGUUGACAAGGAACUUUGGAAGCAAAGUGUAACUCAGACCCGUAGGACACA
Long non-coding RNA from Neofelis nebulosa (Clouded leopard), 2103 nucleotides. RefSeq lists it as uncharacterized. The record is from RefSeq and is a predicted model, not a curated record. NCBI's taxonomy places the organism in Eukaryota, Metazoa, Chordata, Mammalia, Carnivora, Felidae. The transcript is spliced from 3 exons.